AUUGAACGCUGGCGGCAGGCCUAACACAUGCAAGUCGAGCGGAUGAGGGGAGCUUGCUCCCUGAUUUAGCGGCGGACGGGUGAGUAAUGCCUAGGAAUCUGCCUGGUAGUGGGGGAUAACGUUCCGAAAGGAACGCUAAUACCGCAUACGUCCUACGGGAGAAAGCAGGGGACCUUCGGGCCUUGCGCUAUCAGAUGAGCCUAGGUCGGAUUAGCUAGUUGGUGAGGUAAUGGCUCACCAAGGCGACGAUCCGUAACUGGUCUGAGAGGAUGAUCAGUCACACUGGAGCUGAGACACGGUCCAGACUCCUACGGGAGGCAGCAGUGGGGAAUAUUGGACAAUGGGCGAAAGCCUGAUCCAGCCAUGCCGCGUGUGUGAAGAAGGUCUUCGGAUUGUAAAGCACUUUAAGUUGGGAGGAAGGGCUGCUGGUUAAUACCCUGCAGUUUUGACGUUACCAACAGAAUAAGCACCGGCUAACUUCGUG
Molecule: ribosomal RNA, 484 nt
Filed under: uncultured bacterium
Lineage: Bacteria
Description: partial 16S ribosomal RNA
Rfam family: Bacterial small subunit ribosomal RNA
Source: RNAcentral